RNAcentral lists this ribosomal RNA (483 nucleotides) under uncultured bacterium. RNAcentral describes it as "partial 16S ribosomal RNA". It matches the Rfam family "Bacterial small subunit ribosomal RNA", at positions 30 to 507 of the family's 1533-position model. The record is from RNAcentral.
UUGAACGCUGGCGGCAGGCCUAACACCUGCAAGUCGAGCGGAUGAAGGGAGCUUGCUCCUGGAUUCAGCGGCGGACGGGUGAGUAAUACCUAGGAAUCUGCCUGGUAGUGUGGGAUAACGUCCGGAAACGGGCGCUAAUACCGCAUACGUCCUGAGGGAGAAAGUGGGGGAUCUUCGGACCUCACGCUAUCAGAUGAGCCUAGGUCGGAUUAGCUAGUUGGUGGGGUAAAGGCCUACCAAGGCGACGAUCCGUAACUGGUCUGAGAGGAUGAUCAGUCACACUGGAACUGAGACACGGUCCAGACUCCUACGGGAGGCAGCAGUGGGGAAUAUUGGACAAUGGGCGAAAGCCUGAUCCAGCCAUGCCGCGUGUGUGAAGAAGGUCUUCGGAUUGUAAAGCACUUUAAGUUGGGAGGAAGGGCAGUAAGUUAAUACCUUGCUGUUUUGACGUUACCAACAGAAUAAGCACCGGCUAACUUCGUG